Dermochelys coriacea (leatherback sea turtle) is the source of this 1732-nucleotide long non-coding RNA. RefSeq lists it as uncharacterized. The transcript has 3 exons. The record is from RefSeq and is a predicted model, not a curated record. NCBI's taxonomy places the organism in Eukaryota, Metazoa, Chordata, Testudines, Dermochelyidae.
AUAAGUCCUGACAUAUAUAACUUCCUUGAAAAAAUACCGAACCAAAAUGUAUACAGAUAUGUGGACAGUCAGUAUUAUAACAACAUAUAUCAUUGUUAUGAUCACUGCAAUUUUACUUUUUCUUUGUAAAUUAAUCUCCUAGUGCUUUAUGUAAUCACAAUUUAAAUAUGUAACUAAAACUAUGUGUAAUGUGAUAGCAAUAUAGUGCAUCAAUGACACAAUUUUUAAAAUAGAAAAUGUCUUAAACUGGGACUAACUAGUUUUUCCUGAGUUAGUAAAAACCAUGAUCUAACCUGCUAAAAAACAUCUCUGGUAAAUACCAUGCUGUCCCUGCAUUUAGUGCCUCUCUGUACAAUCCCUUGUGUGAUAUGUUUUGAUCAAAGUUUUCCUUGUAUAAAUCUUACCCAUUAAUUUGAUUUAAUUUCUGCUGUUUCCAUUUUAGCAAUCUAUAACUGUCCCCUCCCCAUUUAAGGAAAAAACAUUAUUCCUCUUCUGUAUUAUACCAUAGUGUUUUGCACUUUUCUACAUCAUUAUCACAUGCAGUUUUAAUCUGAAAAAUAACUAUCUAUAAAUGGUACUUCUUAAUCCAAAAGAUGCACUCUCUGUAUGUUAGGUCCAACAAUUCUGAUUUCCACAUUCUGAAGCCUAAAGUUGUUCAAGGAAAGGAUAGUUGGGGAUGUGAAAGGAUGGGGACUUUAUCCUGUGAAGCACUGACUCUGAAAAAAACUUGGGAGUAAUGGUGAAUAAUCAGAUGAACACGAGCUCUCAGUCUAAUGUUGUGGUCAAAAGAGUGAAUGCGAUACUGGAUGUGUAAACAGGUGACUCUUGGGUAGGAGUAGGGAGGUUAUAUGACCUCUGUAUUUGGCCCUGGUGCAACUGCUACUGGAAUAUUGUUUCAACUUCUGGUGUCCACAGUUCAAGAAGGAUAUGAAUAAAUUGGAAAGGGUUCAAAGAAGAGCCAGGAGAAUAAUUAAAGGAUUGGAAAUGAUGCCUUAUAGCAUUAGACUGCAAGAGCACAAUCUGUAUAGCUUAACCUGGGGGCUAAGGGGUGACUUAUUCAUAGUCCAUAAGUACUUAUAAGGAGAACAAAACUUUGAUAAUAAAAGACUCCUCAGUGUAGCGGGAAAAGGUAAAACAAGACUUGGAAGUUGAAGCUAGACGAAUUCCUACUAGAAAUAACGAGCAAAUUUUUAACAAUGAGGGGAAUCAUUGGUACAAUUUACCAAGAACUGUGAUAGAUUCUAUAUCACAGAGAACUUUUAAAUCAAGAUUGGAUCUUUUUCUAAAAGAUAUGCUCUUGCUGAAACAGGAGUUAAUUCAUGGCAGUUUUCUACAGCCUGCAUUAUACAGGAGGUCAGACUAGCUGAUUGCAAUUUUUCUGUUUACUCUUAGUAAAUAAGAGCUCUGUGUUUGACUGAAGAGGUUGUUGGAGGAGUUGGAACUGUCAUUUUUCCUCAGUGGAAUCAUUGUGAUGUAGAAUCCCAGAGAGAAAAGGGUCUAAUCAUGAUAUUGUUGAUCGUUUAGUAGUGAAGAAGGUGUAGAAAGAAGAUCAAUUUUCCCAGGUAGGGGAGAAGCUGUUAGUCACUAAUUGUCUUUAGAUUUUUGUGUGUAGCUGUACGAACUGGGAGACGAUUAGGACUAGAGCCUGUUUUAACACUAUUGUUUUGAAAGAAUACAUUUUUACUGACUUUUAUGAAAAAUACAGUUCCUUGUUGAAUUACAUGUUGAUGAG